CAGUAGCCGCGGUAAUACAGAGGGUGCAAGCGUUAAUCGGAAUUACUGGGCGUAAAGCGCGCGUAGGUGGUUCGCCAAGUUGGAUGUGAAAUCCCCGGGCUCAACCUGGGAACUGCAUCCAAAACUGGCGAGCUAGAGUAUGGUAGAGGGUGGUGGAAUUUCCUGUGUAGCGGUGAAAUGCGUAGAUAUAGGAAGGAACAUCAGUGGCGAAGGCGACCACCUGGACUGAUACUGACACUGAGGUGCGAAAGCGUGGGGAGCAAACAGGAUUAGAUACCCGAGUAGUCCCUGUCUCUUAUAC
This 301-nucleotide ribosomal RNA is filed under the name uncultured bacterium. RNAcentral describes it as "partial 16S ribosomal RNA". It matches the Rfam family "Bacterial small subunit ribosomal RNA", at positions 509 to 807 of the family's 1533-position model. The record is from RNAcentral.